UUAUUUAAAAAAUAAAAUAUCCAUAUAAUCCAAAUAAUAAGGUUUUGGAGUAUCUACAGGAAGCCAUAAACUUUCUACUAUGGGUAAAUCUUAAGUCAAU
This 100-nucleotide non-coding RNA is filed under the name Clostridium oryzae. RNAcentral's name for it is "Guanine sequence". It matches the Rfam family "Purine riboswitch aptamer". From Rfam's summary of the family: Riboswitches are metabolite binding domains within certain messenger RNAs that serve as precision sensors for their corresponding targets. Allosteric rearrangement of mRNA structure is mediated by ligand binding, and this results in modulation of gene expression. Lineage: Bacteria; Bacillati; Bacillota; Clostridia; Eubacteriales; Clostridiaceae. The record is from Rfam by way of RNAcentral.